This 2008-nucleotide long non-coding RNA is filed under the name Salmo salar (Atlantic salmon). Its description in RNAcentral is "lncRNA (ENSSSAG00000092234.1)". The record is from RNAcentral. Lineage: Eukaryota; Metazoa; Chordata; Actinopteri; Salmoniformes; Salmonidae.
GAGAGGAGAGGAGAGGAGAGGAGAGAAGGAGAGGAGGGGAGAGGAGAGGCGAGGACUGCAGAGCUCAUCUGACUGAACACUGAACAUUGAUGACGUUAUGUUAGGUCUGCUUCACUGGAGCCACAUGAGACUGUUCUGCUGUUCAGCCCACAGACGGACGGACAAGACAGACAGGACAGGACAGGACAGACAGGACAGGACAGGACAGAACAGGGCAGGACAGGACAGGACAGGACAGGACAGAACAGGACAGAACAGACAGGACAGAACAGGACAGACAAGAUAGACAGGACAGACAAGACAGACAGGACAGAACAGACAGGACAGACAGGACAGAACAGGCAGACAGGACAGACAGGACAGGACAGACAGGACAGAACAGACAGGACUGGACAGGACAGAACAGAACAGAACAGACAGGACAGAACAGGACAGACAAGAUAGACAGGACAGAACAGACAGGACAGACAGGACAGAACAGAACAGACAGGACAGACAGGACACUUGGUGUAGCAGAGCAGAGCAGAACACACACUGUGACUGGACUACCACACACUACACAGCUCUAUACAGCUAUAACACACAACACAGUUCUAUACAGCUAUAACACACUACACAGCUCUAUACAGCUAUAACACACUACACAGCUCUAUACAGCUAUAACACACUACACAGCUCUAUACAGCUAUAACACACUACACAGCUCUAUACAGCUAUAACACACUACACAGCUCUAUACAGCUAUAACACACUACACAGCUCUAUAACAGACUACACAGCUCUAUAACACACUACACAGCUCUAUAACAGACUACACAGCUCUAUACAGCUAUAACACACUACACAGCUCUAUAACAGACUACACAGCUCUAUAACACACUACACAGCUCUAUACAGCUAUAACACACUACACAGCUCUAUAACAGACUACACAGCUCUAUAACAGACUACACAGCUCUAUAACAGACUACACAGCUCUAUAACACACUACACAGCUCUAUACAGCUAUAACACACUACACAGCUCUAUACAGCUAUAACACACUACACAGCUCUAUACAGCUAUAACACACUACACAGCUCUAUACAGCUAUAACACACUACACAGCUCUAUAACAGACUACACAGCCUAUAACACACUACACAGCCUAUAACACACUACACAGCUCUAUACAGCUAUAACACACUACACAGCUCUAUACAGCUAUAACACACUACACAGCUCUAUACAGCUAUAACACACUACACAGCCUAUAACACACUACACAGCUCUAUACAGCUAUAACACACUACACAGCUCUAUACAGCUAUAACACACUACACAACUCUAUACAGCUAUAACACACUACACAGCUCUAUAACACACUACACAGCUCUAUAACACACUACACAGCUCUAUAACACACUACACAGCUCUAUACAGCUAUAACACACUACACAACUCUAUAACACACUACACAGCUAUAACACACUACACAGCUCUAUAACACACUACAUAGCUCUAUACACACUACACAGCUCUAAAACAGACUACACAGCUCUAUAACACACUACACAGCUCUAUAACACACUACACAGCUCUAUAACACACUACACAGCUCUAUACAGCUAUAACACACUACACAACUUUAUAACACACUACACAGCUCUAUACAGCUAUAACACACUACACAACUCUAUACAGCUAUAACACACUACACAGCUCUAUACAGCUAUAACACACUACACAACUCUAUACAGCUAUAACACACUACACAGCUCUAUACAGCUAUAACACACUACACAGCCCUAUAUGUUCCUGAGUUUGGGUAAUCCCAACAGUUACAUUACUGAGUUUGGGUAAUCCCAACAGUUACAUUACUGAGUUUGGGUAAUCCCAACAAUUACAUUACUGAGUUUGGGUAAUCCCAACAGUUAUGUUCCUGAGUUUGGGUAAUCCCAACAGUUAUGUUCCUGAGUUUGGGUAAUCCCAACAGUUAUGUUCCUGAGUUUGGGUAAUCCCAACAGUU